Molecule: transfer RNA, 75 nt
Filed under: Undibacterium sp.
Lineage: Bacteria; Pseudomonadati; Pseudomonadota; Betaproteobacteria; Burkholderiales; Oxalobacteraceae
Also listed under: 1 other name
Description: tRNA-Ile
Rfam family: tRNA
About the family: Transfer RNA (tRNA) molecules are approximately 80 nucleotides in length.
Source: RNAcentral
GUCCCUUUAGCUCAGUGGGAGAGCAACCGGCUCAUAACCGGUGGGUCGCUGGUUCGAAACCAGCAAGGGGCACCA